AUUAGUGUGUAUUUAAAGAUGUUUGCUUGAUAUUUAUUAAUUGUUUAAUUAUUUAUUGUAUUUACAGAAAAUAUUUUAUUUAAAUAGAUGGGAGACCCAAAAAUAUUUUUUAUUAUCGUACUCGCUAGAGUUUAGAACUCUGUGCCUACGUACCUUCGCAUUAGGCGAGGGAUCAGAGUACCGUAGCUCUUGUAUAAAAUAU
Molecule: long non-coding RNA, 202 nt
Filed under: Lathyrus oleraceus (garden pea)
Lineage: Eukaryota; Viridiplantae; Streptophyta; Magnoliopsida; Fabales; Fabaceae
Description: Pisum sativum (pea) long non-coding RNA (PSAT_LNC008532)
Source: RNAcentral